Long non-coding RNA from Podarcis raffonei (Aeolian wall lizard), 355 nucleotides. RefSeq lists it as uncharacterized. The record is from RefSeq and is a predicted model, not a curated record. NCBI's taxonomy places the organism in Eukaryota, Metazoa, Chordata, Lepidosauria, Squamata, Lacertidae. The transcript has 2 exons.
UCUUGAGCAUCUGUGUGUGGCGACAGUAGAUGGCUGCGGGCACCGGGAAAUAAUAGUAGUGACAGAAACUUGCGAGCAGCUCCAACCUGCCAGCUCAUCCAUCUACGGAGCCAAGUCCGUCUUGUGCAGUAUGGGUGGCUCAAUCAGGCUUGAGAUGUCUUGCAGCAAAUUCCGUCUUUGGCAAUCUCAGACGUCAGGCUUAUCAUCACUUCGUUUCCUGGAGGUAAUGAACGAAAAUUCAAAGAAGAUCCUGAUACAAUCGGAAGAGGUUAACACUUUGCAUAUUGUACGGCUUUCAACUAUAUCUUCCUCUUCAAGCCUUGCGUGGGGAAAUUAAAUGCCUCGUGUAGAUAUC